This is a long non-coding RNA of Musca domestica (house fly), 486 nucleotides long. RefSeq lists it as uncharacterized. NCBI's taxonomy places the organism in Eukaryota, Metazoa, Arthropoda, Insecta, Diptera, Muscidae. The transcript has 2 exons. The record is from RefSeq and is a predicted model, not a curated record.
UUUAAAAAAACAACGUUUGUUUAAUAGUGGAGAAAUUGUCAAAUCGUCUCUAAUUUGGUUUUGUUUACCAUGCCAUGGUCCUAAGUUAGAGUGUAGUUAACCAUUUUGUUUUCUCAGUUAGAAUGGGAAAGAAUUUCUUCAGAGAAAUCUGUUAGAACAAUCUUGUUUACCAUGUAUUCAGCAGAAUCAUCGGAAUUGGGUGUAGCUUAGCAUUUGGAGUCACAGGAUAUCGACAUAUAAAUUAUGUCACUAUUUGGCAAAUAUCACAUUUCAUUGCAGAAAAUUGUUGGAAAGACCCAUCCGGAUUUAAUUUUGCUCAAAUUUUCAUUUCGGUUUCUCAGGUUCGUUGCACGUUCAGAUGGGGAGGGAUAUAAAUUUUGAUCCCAGAAAAAACAAUCGGUCGAUUUAUUCAUACUCCUUCAAAUAUCGAUAUCUGUUAAUAGAAAUUGUAUGAUAGAAUUGUAUAAAUGUCAAAUUGUUUUUUUU